This 449-nucleotide ribosomal RNA is filed under the name uncultured bacterium. RNAcentral describes it as "bacterial SSU rRNA". It matches the Rfam family "Bacterial small subunit ribosomal RNA", at positions 29 to 506 of the family's 1533-position model. The record is from RNAcentral.
GUGAAUGCUAGCGGUGCGCCUAACACAUGCAAGUCGAGCGGGAUUAUAAAAUAGCUUGCUAUUUUAUAUGAGAGCGGCGAACGGGUGAGUAAUACGUUGGAAUCUGCCCCCAAGUCAGGGAUAGCCCACCGAAAGGUGGAUUAAUACCGGAUGUGCUCUUCGGAGUAAAGAUUUAUCGCUUGGGGAGGAGCCUUCGUUCUAUCAGCUAGUUGGUGAGGUAAAGGCUUACCAAGGCUAUGACGGAUAGCUGGUCUGAGAGGAUGACCAGCCACAAUGGAACUGAGACACGGUCCAUACUCUUACGGGAGGCAGCAGUGAGGAAUCUUCCGCAAUGGGCGAAAGCCUGACGGAGCGACACCGCGUGAAGGAUGAAGGCCUAACGGUUGUAAACUUCUUUUCUGAGGGAGCAUAAUGAGAGUACUUCAGGAAUAAGGGGCGGCAAAUCACGU